Long non-coding RNA from Malaya genurostris, 843 nucleotides. RefSeq lists it as uncharacterized. Lineage: Eukaryota; Metazoa; Arthropoda; Insecta; Diptera; Culicidae. The record is from RefSeq and is a predicted model, not a curated record. The transcript is spliced from 2 exons.
UGUAAAUAGCAGCACACAAGCGGUUCGAUGUAAAAUGAUUCUAUCAAUCUUGACAUAGUAAAUUAGUACGGAUGAAAUAAAUAAGCUCACUCUGCUAGCGGACAGUCACUUAUAGCUGACCGAUACUGCGUAUUGAUUCGAUUAAUAAACAAACCGGGGCAGUCAGGCGUGAAAAAUUACUGGGAAUUCCCCGGCUAGGCGCGAAUUGAUUCUGCUGUUCCUGCGUAUCAUCGAGACUUUUCGAAAAGUUCGCUGAUAAGCGCCGAUCACUCAGUAGCCGUUUCGAUCUCGCACUUGCAGCAUCUGAAGCGCAGAGUUCGCUGUUUCUACAUUUUGAAAAAUAAAAUGAAAUUUUUGGUUUUGAUCUGUUUGCUGAUUUCAUUGGGCUUGGCGUUACCAGUGGAGGAAUGGAGCACUGACACAACCACUUACAAGCACCAGCUGGCAGUGAAUGCCUAUACGUACUCACCGUUUGCUCCUAAAACUACUCCUACAACAACUACAACUACUACAACCACGACGCUGCCUCCACCGGUGACAACCAAAAAGCCUUGGUAUAAGUUCUGGAAAUAAAUCUGAUAAUCAAAAAAUGGAUUGCCGAGAAGCAAAAAAAUAUUACACAAAAAAGUAUUCAGCACAUUUAGUUUAUUGUAAUGAGAAUGAAGUCUUCUUUAAGAAUGGUAGAGGAGAUCAUUGCUUUCUAGAAAUUCUCAAUGGUCCUUUACAUUAAGGCUAUGUGAUGUAGUAGCAAAUGUUUCGCGAUUCAGUAAAUAUAAUUUAAAGCACUCACAAUAAACAACUCAGAAAUGCCUUUUUAAGCGUAAAUAUAAAAUUCUAAUUCUA